UCCUAUUUGUAAUAAAAUUACAAAAUUCAAAUUCAAAUCCAAAUAUAAAUCAAAACUCAAAAUUUUAGCGAUUUUUCUAAUACAAAUAUAUCUAAUCCUACUUAAAAACUUUCAAAAACUAUUCCUAAUUUUUAGGAAUUUAUUCCAACAGAAAAAUCCUAAAAAUAUAAAAAAUCACUAAAACAAAUUUACCAAACAAAAAUCUAAAAUCUUUAGAAAAUAAAAUUUAAUUAUAGUUAUUAUUUU
RNAcentral lists this long non-coding RNA (246 nucleotides) under Ananas comosus (pineapple). Its description in RNAcentral is "long non-coding RNA (ACOM_LNC019543)". Lineage: Eukaryota; Viridiplantae; Streptophyta; Magnoliopsida; Poales; Bromeliaceae. The record is from RNAcentral.